CCAAACCCUGCCUGGGAGUGUGAAGCUAUUCAGCAGUGAGAGCCAUCAUGCUGAUCUUUACACCAUGCCCUGGCCUUGUUUAGCAUCAUCUCCCUGUCUAGAAAGGACAAACUUCCCUCCUUUGGUGCCUGGCCUGACUCUGCCUGGCUAUUUCCUUCAUGCCCAGACUCCCUGCAGAUGCUGAGGCCCACAGCAGAAAAUUAACGCUGUUCAACAUACAGUCACAAGACUUGAGAUGGGAGGAGCCCAGAAAACGCAGAGUGAAGAAGGAAGGAUCCCACUGUGUGGUCACACUGGUCUACUAAUCCAGCCGCAGGAAUUGUGACCAGUGAUGUGACAGGGGAAAAAAUACUUC
This is a long non-coding RNA of Vidua macroura (Pin-tailed whydah), 355 nucleotides long. RefSeq lists it as uncharacterized. NCBI's taxonomy places the organism in Eukaryota, Metazoa, Chordata, Aves, Passeriformes, Viduidae. The transcript has 3 exons. The record is from RefSeq and is a predicted model, not a curated record.